UCUAUGCUCGUGUCCACGUUCUAAUAAUGGAC
Molecule: non-coding RNA, 32 nt
Filed under: Rattus norvegicus (Norway rat)
Lineage: Eukaryota; Metazoa; Chordata; Mammalia; Rodentia; Muridae
Source: RNAcentral